CACGGGUGAGCUGCACGCUUUAAGUAGGUCAACUGGAUGUUAUGUAAAUUGUAUCUCAAGGAAGUUGUUACCCAAAAAAAAAAAAAAAGGCCAGUAAAGAUAUCUUCAAAUGAUAUCAACCCUAUUACUAGAUUCUUUGUUCACCAACAGAUCUUUUGUUUGUCGGAAGCGGAAUUUUGAGAUGCUCCUGGAUUCUACGUUACAGGAGUCCCUUAACAUCCGGUGUCUCAGAUGCUCACUAGAAGUUGGUGAGAUAAACAGGACUAGCCAGAUCUCCGUUCCAGAAACAAUUCAGCCUGUCCAACGAUGUCCUCUCCACCCUUUCCCUACUUCCUGCCUCUGAAAAACCACAUUUUCCAAACGGGAAGCCAGGAGCUGGAGAAGUACAGACACCUAAGCUGCCUGGAUUCGUAAAGAAUGGGUCCUUUGAGUUUGCCCGCUCUCCAUGCAAAUUUCUUACGCGGCCUCUCUCCAACGACACGACUCGAUCAGCUCGAUCUGCUCUCCUUAUCCUACAGGUUCUUCGGUCAAGUUGUCCAGGAAGGAGCACCACCUGGGAGCAGGGCCCAAAACCUACCGGUGUGGAUUAAAAGAUCUUUCCCAGCACUACGCCUCACCCACUGAGGUCAAGGCUUAUCCCAAAUGAAACAAUGCUACGCAGCGGGAAGGCUAUGCUGUUGAAAAGUGUCUGCUGAACUCCAGGCUUUCAGAAGAACAACCCUGGGCUGACAAAAUGGAACUUCCCGUGACUACUUCCCUGUGUAUUUUGAUAGCUAUCAACUCACCAGGAGAAAAACAAAAAUCAUAAUGAAAAUGAUGAAACCUAGCUUAAACUUUCUGGAGAAGGGAAGGUGGGAGAGACUCAUAACAAGGAACAACAGUGCCUAAUACCACCUUCACUCAAAAAAAUAGUAAAUGUUAGAUAUGGCCACACUGGCAUAGUAUCGUCGUGCUCGAUUAGAAAGGGUGA
Long non-coding RNA from Prionailurus viverrinus (fishing cat), 970 nucleotides. RefSeq lists it as uncharacterized. The record is from RefSeq and is a predicted model, not a curated record. The transcript is spliced from 4 exons. Lineage: Eukaryota; Metazoa; Chordata; Mammalia; Carnivora; Felidae.